This 818-nucleotide ribosomal RNA is filed under the name Frigoribacterium sp. 42NP21. RNAcentral's name for it is "bacterial SSU rRNA". It matches the Rfam family "Bacterial small subunit ribosomal RNA", at positions 89 to 919 of the family's 1533-position model. Lineage: Bacteria; Bacillati; Actinomycetota; Actinomycetes; Micrococcales; Microbacteriaceae. The record is from RNAcentral.
GAAUUAGUGGCGAACGGGUGAGUAACACGUGAGUAACCUGCCCUUGACUCUGGGAUAAGCGCUGGAAACGGCGUCUAAUACCGGAUACGAGCUUCAGCCGCAUGGCUAGGAGCUGGAAAGAAUUUCGGUCAAGGAUGGACUCGCGGCCUAUCAGCUAGUUGGUGAGGUAAUGGCUCACCAAGGCGACGACGGGUAGCCGGCCUGAGAGGGUGACCGGCCACACUGGGACUGAGACACGGCCCAGACUCCUACGGGAGGCAGCAGUGGGGAAUAUUGCACAAUGGGCGCAAGCCUGAUGCAGCAACGCCGCGUGAGGGAUGACGGCCUUCGGGUUGUAAACCUCUUUUAGUAGGGAAGAAGCGAAAGUGACGGUACCUGCAGAAAAAGCACCGGCUAACUACGUGCCAGCAGCCGCGGUAAUACGUAGGGUGCAAGCGUUGUCCGGAAUUAUUGGGCGUAAAGAGCUCGUAGGCGGUUUGUCGCGUCUGCUGUGAAAUCUGGGGGCUCAACCCCCAGCCUGCAGUGGGUACGGGCAGACUAGAGUGCGGUAGGGGAGAUUGGAAUUCCUGGUGUAGCGGUGGAAUGCGCAGAUAUCAGGAGGAACACCGAUGGCGAAGGCAGAUCUCUGGGCCGUAACUGACGCUGAGGAGCGAAAGCAUGGGGAGCGAACAGGAUUAGAUACCCUGGUAGUCCAUGCCGUAAACGUUGGGAACUAGAUGUGGGGGCCAUUCCACGGUCUCCGUGUCGCAGCUAACGCAUUAAGUUCCCCGCCUGGGGAGUACGGCCGCAAGGCUAAAACUCAAAGGAAUUGACGGGGG